AAGAUAAAAAAAUGAAGACAAAAAAUGAAGACAAAAAAGAGGGAGCUUUGAACCAAAUCAUACAUUUGCUGCUGCCAAACCAAUAAAAAACAGUAGCAUUAAUGGCAUUUUUAGUGGAACUCAUAUAACCAAUAUAAACCUUCCAUUAUCCAGUAACAUAUCCACUUUAUACUUUUGUUUCAAUUUGUCAUAUUUAAGUGUGUCUAAGUAGUGUUUAUAGUUAGGUUAGUAG
Molecule: unclassified non-coding RNA, 232 nt
Filed under: Hevea brasiliensis (rubber tree)
Lineage: Eukaryota; Viridiplantae; Streptophyta; Magnoliopsida; Malpighiales; Euphorbiaceae
Source: RNAcentral